The sequence is a ribosomal RNA, 839 nucleotides long. The stretch from base 546 to 699 matches the Rfam family "5.8S ribosomal RNA".
CGCGGAAGCCUUUGCACCCCUACGGGGGAGCCCAGCGACUCUAAACAAUGGGCUGCGCAGGUAGCUUAACAAGCUGCAACACGAUCGAAUUGCGGGGACGUCCUAAAGCCUAACGGUACCAACCUCGGGGGGAAACCUCAGGGGGGCUUGCGCUAACUACGCAGGGUGGUCAGAACCCGUUAGGAUGCUACAGUGGACAAUCCGCAGCGAAGCCCCUACCGGCCUCAGGGCCCACGGGGAGCGCUCACAGACUAGGUGGUCGUGGAGAGGGCGCUGAGCCAGCGUCCUGUCUAAGAUAUAGUCGGGCUGCUUGGGAGACUGAGCAGGGUGUUUCGCACCGGACCGUUCCGUAGGUGAACCUGCGGAAGGAUCAUUACAGAGUUCAUGCCCUCACGGGUAGACCUCCCACCCUUGUGUAUUAAUACCAUGUUGCUUUGGCGGGCCGUCAGGCUUCGGUCAGGCCUCCGGCUCAGGCUGGGGAGCGCCCGCCAGAGGACCCCAAAACUCUGAAUGUUAGUGUCGUCUGAGUACUAUAUAAUAGUUAAAACUUUCAACAACGGAUCUCUUGGUUCUGGCAUCGAUGAAGAACGCAGCGAAAUGCGAUAAGUAAUGUGAAUUGCAGAAUUCAGUGAAUCAUCGAAUCUUUGAACGCACAUUGCGCCCCUUGGUAUUCCGGGGGGCAUGCCUGUUCGAGCGUCAUUUCAACCCUCAAGCACAGCUUGGUGUUGGGCCCUGCCAGCGAUGGCAGGCCCUAAAAUUAGUGGCGGUGCCGCUGAGCCCUGAGCGUAGUAAUCUCCUCGCUACAGGGCCUCUGCGUGCUUUCGCCAGAACCCCCAAUU